UACGUAGGGGGCAAGCGUUGUCCGGAAUCAUUGGGCGUAAAGCGCGUGUAGGCGGCUGACUAAGUCCGCUCUGAAAGCCCGGGGCUCAACCCCGGGAGGCGGGUGGAUACUGGUCAGCUCGAGUCCGGAAGAGGAGUGUGGAAUUCCUGGUGUAGCGGUGAAAUGCGCAGAUAUCAGGAGGAACACCAAUGGCGAAGGCAGCACUCUGGGACGGUACUGACGCUGAGACGCGAAAGCGUGGGGAGCAAAUAGG
Molecule: ribosomal RNA, 253 nt
Filed under: uncultured bacterium
Lineage: Bacteria
Description: partial 16S ribosomal RNA
Rfam family: Bacterial small subunit ribosomal RNA
Source: RNAcentral